GACAGAGGUGCCGAGCGUUAGGCGGAAGCGCUGGGGUUAAAGCGGGUGUAGGCGGACUUCUAAGUGGCGUGUGAAAUCCCACGGCUUAACCGUGGAACUGCUGGGCAUACUGGUUGUCUUGGGCAAUCUAGGGGCUACUGGAACAAACGGUGGAGCGGUGAAAUGCGUAGAUAUCGUUUGGAACGCCAAUGGUGAAAGCAAGUAGCUGGGGAUGUGCCGACUCUGAGACACGAAAGCCAGGGGAGCAAACGGG
RNAcentral lists this ribosomal RNA (253 nucleotides) under uncultured bacterium. RNAcentral's name for it is "partial 16S ribosomal RNA". It matches the Rfam family "Bacterial small subunit ribosomal RNA", at positions 524 to 776 of the family's 1533-position model. The record is from RNAcentral.